CCAGACUCCUACGGGAGGCAGCAGUGGGGGAUAUUGCACAAUGGAGGAAACUCUGAUGCAGCGACGCCGCGUGAGGGAAGACGGUCUUCGGAUUGUAAACCUCUGUCUUUGGGGAAGAAAAUGACGGUACCCAAAGAGGAAGCUCCGGCUAACUACGUGCCAGCAGCCGCGGUAAUACGUAGGAGGCAAGCGUUAUCCGGAAUGACUGGGCGUAAAGGGUGCGUAGGUGGUUUGACAAGUUAGUAGCGAAACUCCGGAGCUUAACUUCGGAACUACUACUAAAACUGUUGGACUUGAGUGCAGGAGGGGCAAUCGGAAUUCCUAGUGUAGCGGUGGAAUGCGUAGAUAUUAGGAGGAACACCAGUGGCGAAGGCGGAUUGCUAGACUGUAACUGACACUGAGGCACGAAAGCGUGGGGAGCAAACAGGAUUAGAUACCCCCGUAAC
This 446-nucleotide ribosomal RNA is filed under the name uncultured bacterium. RNAcentral's name for it is "bacterial SSU rRNA". It matches the Rfam family "Bacterial small subunit ribosomal RNA", at positions 331 to 794 of the family's 1533-position model. The record is from RNAcentral.